UACGUUGGGAGCAAGCGUUGUUCGGAUUUACUGGGCGUAAAGGGCGCGUAGGCGGCCAGUGCAAGUCAGUUGUGAAAUCUCCGAGCUUAACUCGGAAAGGUCAACUGAUACUGCUCGGCUAGAGUGCGGAAGGGGCAACUGGAAUUCUUGGUGUAGCGGUGAAAUGCGUAGAUAUCAAGAGGAACACCUGCGGCGAAGGCGGGUUGCUGGGCCGACACUGACGCUGAGGCGCGAAAGCUAGGGGAGCGAACGGG
This 254-nucleotide ribosomal RNA is filed under the name uncultured bacterium. Its description in RNAcentral is "partial 16S ribosomal RNA". It matches the Rfam family "Bacterial small subunit ribosomal RNA", at positions 524 to 776 of the family's 1533-position model. The record is from RNAcentral.